Long non-coding RNA from Mustela lutreola (European mink), 515 nucleotides. RefSeq lists it as uncharacterized. The transcript is spliced from 4 exons. The record is from RefSeq and is a predicted model, not a curated record. NCBI's taxonomy places the organism in Eukaryota, Metazoa, Chordata, Mammalia, Carnivora, Mustelidae.
UGCUAUGCAAUCAGAGGAUGAUUUCAGGACUUACAGCAGCUGGAGGGCUAGACGACACCAAGUAUCUGUCUGAUAUCAUUUUAAUAACGGGAGCUGGGAAAAAAGCCUUCUUGUCUAACUAUCCUCUGGGAGAGGAACUAGAAGUGGUGAUGUCUUCCUAUGAUACAGAAAUCUUAAUGGCUUCUCACUGGGAAAGGGAAUUUCCACAAGGAGUUUUCAGUUUGGUGCCUCUGUCUCUGGGGUUCUCUUCCUGUUGGGAUUAUGCCACAUACCGGUUUUCAGUAUUUGCUUAAGAUGUGGCUGCUGAUGAGUCAGAGGAGAGGAAAGAGACUCCAAAAUGUGAGGUGAGAAAACAAGACCAAAUGACUUAAUAUGACUGGAUACUGCCGACCAGCGUUAGAGGUGAAACACCAUCUAAAGCUGCGACUUUUUGAUAGAAGGUCCCAUUUUGAAUCUGCUGAACCAGAGCUUCUGAGGUCAGCACCUGUGAGUCCUGGUCUUAUAGAGCUUCUGGG